GAUGAACGCUAGCGGGAGGCUUAACACAUGCAAGUCGAGGGGCAUCACGAGGUAGCAAUACUUUGGUGGCGACCGGCGCACGGGUGAGUAACGCGUAUGCAACCUACCCUGUACAGGGGGAUAGCCCGGAGAAAUUCGGAUUAAUACCCCAUAAAGAUAUUUUAGGGCAUCCUAAUAUAUUUAAAGUUUCGACGGUACGGGAUGGGCAUGCGUGACAUUAGCUAGUUGGUAAGGUAACGGCUUACCAAGGCUUCGAUGUCUAGGGGUCCUGAGAGGGUGAUCCCCCACACUGGUACUGAGACACGGACCAGACUCCUACGGGUGG
RNAcentral lists this ribosomal RNA (325 nucleotides) under uncultured Bacteroidota bacterium. RNAcentral's name for it is "bacterial SSU rRNA". It matches the Rfam family "Bacterial small subunit ribosomal RNA", at positions 28 to 348 of the family's 1533-position model. The record is from RNAcentral. Lineage: Bacteria; Pseudomonadati; Bacteroidota.